GGGGGUGUAGCUCAGUGGUAGAGCGCGUGCUUAGCAUGCACGAGGCCAGGAUGGUCUCUAUCUCCU
Molecule: transfer RNA, 66 nt
Filed under: Chlorocebus sabaeus (green monkey)
Lineage: Eukaryota; Metazoa; Chordata; Mammalia; Primates; Cercopithecidae
Rfam family: tRNA
About the family: Transfer RNA (tRNA) molecules are approximately 80 nucleotides in length. Their secondary structure includes four short double-helical elements and three loops (D, anti-codon, and T loops).
Source: Rfam by way of RNAcentral